GAAUACGUACAUCAACAUCUGUACGCGGUACGAACUACGCCCGUACUAGGAUCUGUUUCCAUUUUACUCCCCGUAUUUCUUCUUCCUAUAAUAAGAUUUCCCUGUUUUCAUUUUUUUGCAGAUUUCUUCAUCUCUCCUACAAUGUUCUUAUAUCUUUGUUUUUCCCUCUUUUAAGCUUGGUGGCUGUCUCUGAUUUCUCCUUGCUUAUUUCUCUCUCAAUUUUUCAGCUGCAGUUUGUUUAUGGAUUUUGGGUUUUUGACAAAACCGUUUUUUAAUUUUGAUUUCAGGUGAAAUGGGUUUCUCCCUUUCCAAUAAUUUUCAGUUGACUUUUCUAUCUUACAUUUUCUUGAUUUCGUGCAUUAAUUCUUGUGGUUAUUGAUUUGCUUUCGUAUAUGAAAUAAAUUACUAAUUUAGAAUUCCAAAUUCCAAUGACUUACGCAACCCAUCUGCGGAUUUGUCUUCUUCAAUCGUUUUCUGUUGUGUUACUUCACUGGUUUUAUGUUUUCUC
RNAcentral lists this long non-coding RNA (508 nucleotides) under Panax ginseng (ginseng). RNAcentral describes it as "long non-coding RNA (PGIN_LNC005223)". Lineage: Eukaryota; Viridiplantae; Streptophyta; Magnoliopsida; Apiales; Araliaceae. The record is from RNAcentral.